AUGGGUGUAACUCAUAUGAAAAAAGUCAUUCUAGAGUCUGCUACUUCGAGGAAGCAGAUAGUUGAAUUUGAUGGAUUGAAUCCUGUCAUGUCAAGCAGCACUGCAUUUAAAAGUUAUGUUGCAUUAUUGGGACGAGUCAGAGUUCGUAUCACAAUAGAGUCAUGGCUUAAGGUCCCAGUAGAGACUAAGGAGCUUAUUUGGCAAGAUAUUCUGAGUACUUAUAAUAUUCCCAACACAACCGAAAUGAAGCGCCAUUGGAUGAAAUAUGUGGGUGAACGAUGGAAAGAUUUUAAAACAAAAUUGGUCAACCAGUAUAUAUACGGUACUUUGUCACAUAAAACUAUGUGAUAAAUACUCGUACCUUGACCAAGAGACCUGGAAUGAGUUUGUUCAGCAUCAUACAUGUCUAGAAUAUGAGGCAAUAAGAAAAAAACAUCAAGGCAUACAAGCUAAGAAUGUUCAUACACAUGUUUUAGCUCGUGGAGGCUAUCAAAGGUUG
Ipomoea nil (Japanese morning glory) is the source of this 499-nucleotide long non-coding RNA. RefSeq lists it as uncharacterized. NCBI's taxonomy places the organism in Eukaryota, Viridiplantae, Streptophyta, Magnoliopsida, Solanales, Convolvulaceae. The record is from RefSeq and is a predicted model, not a curated record. The transcript has 3 exons.